This 336-nucleotide small RNA is filed under the name Histoplasma capsulatum var. duboisii H88. RNAcentral's name for it is "Histoplasma capsulatum H88 hypothetical RNA". The record is from RNAcentral. Lineage: Eukaryota; Fungi; Ascomycota; Eurotiomycetes; Onygenales; Ajellomycetaceae.
AGCACACUCUGAAACCCAUUUAUUUUCACUGUGAGAGAAUCUCAUUGAUGAAGCAACCGCGGUUUCCACUACCACAAGGCCACUGAUGCAGUAAGUGCCACCUCCAAAACACUGGAUCCAAGCUUGGCUGUGAGGCUGCUUCAACCUCCACCCCAAAGAUGCACCAUCUGGGUGGGAUCCCUGGGCUGUUAAGAAAAUGUUGCAGCUCAGCACCCCAUCCAUGUCGUGCGGCUUCGGAAAGCCACUCAUGGGAGGCCCGCUACCGCAUCCGAGAUAUCCUUGCCAGUGCGAGUUCUGUGAAACGCCAGAAAAGUAUUGGAGUUGGCAGAAGAGUGU